GACGAACUGUGCAAACGUUAUUCGGAAUCACUGGGCUUGAAGAGUGCGUAGGCGGUUUUGUAAGUAGGGUGUGAAAGCCCCCGGCCCAACCGGGGAACUGCGCCCUAAACUGCAAGGCUGGAGUGAGGUAGGGGUGUGUGGAACUUCUAGUGGAGCGGUGAAAUGUGUUGAUAUUAGAAGGAACGCCGGUGGCGAAAGCGACACACUGGACCUUGUCUGACGCUGAGGCACGAAAGCCAGGGGAGCAAACGGG
This 253-nucleotide ribosomal RNA is filed under the name uncultured bacterium. RNAcentral's name for it is "partial 16S ribosomal RNA". It matches the Rfam family "Bacterial small subunit ribosomal RNA", at positions 524 to 776 of the family's 1533-position model. The record is from RNAcentral.